RNAcentral lists this ribosomal RNA (436 nucleotides) under uncultured prokaryote. RNAcentral describes it as "partial 16S ribosomal RNA". The record is from RNAcentral.
CCCUACGGGGUGCAGCAGGGCAAGGUUGACUUGGUCGUGAGCGCUACGCCUGAAGAUCGUCGAAUGAUUUUCGAUGCGGCUUCCGGGAUAACAAAAUAUAAGGCCAAGAAACGGGAAGCUCAGUCCAAGCUUGAGGAUACGGAUCAGAAUUUGUUGCGCUUGAACGACAUAGUAAGCGAGGUGAAGAGACAGAUUUCAUCGAUCGAGAGACAGGCCCAGAAGGCGCAGCGGUAUAAGGCUGAAUUCGAGAAGCUCAAGGAAUUGGAAGUUGUUUUUGGGUCUUGGCAAUUAGAGCUGGCUGUGAAAGAGCGUCAAGAGGUGGUCGAUUUCCUCUCGGAGAUCCGUGCCCGGGAGGCGAAAGUAGCGACGGAGCUCGAGGAUUAUCGUCAGACAUUGGAGCGCGAAUCGUUGCUUCUCGAGGAAUUGGCGGGGGGGC